This is a long non-coding RNA of Pan troglodytes (chimpanzee), 1215 nucleotides long. RefSeq lists it as uncharacterized. The transcript is spliced from 3 exons. The record is from RefSeq and is a predicted model, not a curated record. Lineage: Eukaryota; Metazoa; Chordata; Mammalia; Primates; Hominidae.
GCUGCCCUUUUGCAGGCUGAAUCGCUUCUGGGUGGGGCCACAGGAGCAGGGUUGAUGAUGCAGUUGUAAAUUUUGAGCUACUUGUUUAACUUCCCUCAGUUUCGUUUAUUCAUCUCUGAAAUGGCAAAAGUAUAUCUAGCUCACAGGCAUGUGGAGGACUCUUCUCACCCUGCUACAGGCACAGCAUUGUUGCAGCAUAACUGUGUACUACAUUAAUGUCACAAAAGUGACCACCGAUAGACUGUUCUUUACUCUGUGUCUCUUUCCAAGAACAAAGAAACUUUUCCCUAAAGACCCUAAGCAAACUUCUUUUAAUAGCUUUUUGCCAUAAUUAUGUCAUAUAAAUCAAUCAAUGGCAAGGAGAAUGUAAUUAUCAUGACUAUCAUAAUCAGUAUUUACUCCCAAGGAACACUAAAUGAGACAAUAUAGGCAGCUUCCUUAGCACCGUCCCUUAGCACAAAAUGUCAGCAUUCAGUAAAUGUGAAGGAUUUUCUCCAUUAGUCAAGAAAUAGGCAUAUUCUGUGGAAUUAUGAAGGCAACCACCAAAAGAAAUAACACUGGGCCAGAUAAAAUACAGUUUCUCCUGUAAACUGUGUCUGUGUUAAAAGAGAAAGGGGAAGAUCAUAUUUUCUUUUUAAUAUGUUUUUAAUUAUAUGGUUGAAAUUGGUUUGCUAUGUGUACUUUUUAAUUUUUAUCAUGCUUACCCCUUUAUAUUAGUGCAUUUCAGUCAGUAUUCAUGUAAAUAUCAGAACCCAUUUAUUGAACUUGAAUUAUUGUAUUGCUGAGCCCUCUAUGUUUGCCAUAGUCAAAGAUCCUGCCAUCAUUUUUGUAAUCACAUUUAUUAAGCACCUAUGAUGGACCAAGCAUAAGGAGAGACUCAUAACUUCUCAAGGGGCCUCUCAUUAUACUGUAGUGCCCAGAAAGCGUAGUUCUCUAAUAAACAUUUACUAAUAUUAAUGGAGAAAAAUGGGAAUUUUUAGUUUUAUUACAGCGUUACAACCCUACUUUUUAAAAGAUUGAUGUUUAUGAAACAAUCUGCUAGAAUAAAUAACAUGGAGGGCUCAACUUUUCCUAUACAUUUGUCAGUUUGGUCUUCUUUUUUAUGGCAAGAUAAAUUAUGUGAUUUGCUAAGACAAUGAAAGAAUUAAUUUCCACAAUUAUCUUCUCAAUAAUAGAAAUACUCUUAAAAAUUUAUUAAACAUAUCUUUUAUCUUU